UCUAUGGAUAUAGUUUUCUUGC
Molecule: non-coding RNA, 22 nt
Filed under: Arabidopsis thaliana (thale cress)
Lineage: Eukaryota; Viridiplantae; Streptophyta; Magnoliopsida; Brassicales; Brassicaceae
Source: RNAcentral